Non-coding RNA from Gossypium arboreum, 107 nucleotides. The record is from Rfam. NCBI's taxonomy places the organism in Eukaryota, Viridiplantae, Streptophyta, Magnoliopsida, Malvales, Malvaceae.
AACCUAUGGUGUGGGGGCCAUCUCAAUAUAUCUUUGUAUCUCUCCCAUGCAUCGUAUAAGGUUUCUAAAUCAAUCUGGGUAAAGGAAGAGAUAUAAUUCCUCAACUU